GAUGAAGAACGCAGCGAAAUGCGAUAAGUAAUGUGAAUUGUAGAAUUCAGUGAAUCAUCGAAUCUUUGAACGCACAUUGCGCCCGCCAGUAUUCUGGCGGGCAUGCCUGUUCGAGCGUCAUUUCAACCAUCAAGCCCUGCUUGCGUUGGGGUCCUGCGGCUGCCCGCAGGCCCUGAAAACCAGUGGCGGGCUCGCUAGUCACACCGAGCGCAGUAAUACAUCUCGCUUUGGGCGUGCGGCGGGUUCUUGCCGUUAAACACCCCCUUUUUACCAAGGUUGACCUCGGAUCAGGUAGGAAUACCCGCUGAACUUAAGCAUAUCAAUAAGCGGAGGA
Molecule: unclassified non-coding RNA, 334 nt
Filed under: soil metagenome
Description: partial contains 5.8S ribosomal RNA, internal transcribed spacer 2, and large subunit ribosomal RNA
Rfam family: 5.8S ribosomal RNA (bases 1-120)
Source: RNAcentral